CUACGUGCCAGCAGCCGCGGUAAUACGUAGGUGGCAAGCGUUGUCCGGAAUUAUUGGGCGUAAAGCGCGCGCAGGCGGAUCAGUCAGUCUGUCUUAAAAGUUCGGGGCUUAACCCCGUGAUGGGAUGGAAACUGCUGAUCUAGAGUAUCGGAGAGGAAAGUGGAAUUCCUAGUGUAGCGGUGAAAUGCGUAGAUAUUAGGAAGAACACCAGUGGCGAAGGCGACUUUCUGGACGAAAACUGACGCUGAGGCGCGAAAGCCAGGGGAGCGAACGGGAUUAGAUACCCCGGUAGUCCUGGCCGUAAACGAUGGGUACUAGGUGUAGGAGGUAUCGACCCCUUCUGUGCCGGAGUUAACGCAAUAAGUACCCCGCCUGGGGAGUACGACCGCAAGGUUGAAACUCAAAGGAAUUGACGGGGGCCCGCACAGGCGGUGGAGUAUGUGGUUUAAUUCGACGCAACGCGAAGAACCUUACCAGGUCUUGACAU
This 487-nucleotide ribosomal RNA is filed under the name uncultured bacterium. RNAcentral's name for it is "bacterial SSU rRNA". It matches the Rfam family "Bacterial small subunit ribosomal RNA", at positions 501 to 987 of the family's 1533-position model. The record is from RNAcentral.